Molecule: ribosomal RNA, 274 nt
Filed under: uncultured bacterium
Lineage: Bacteria
Description: partial 16S ribosomal RNA
Rfam family: Bacterial small subunit ribosomal RNA
Source: RNAcentral
AUAAGGAGGGUGCAAGCGUUAUCCGGAUUUAUUGGGUUUAAAGGGUGCGCAGGCGGACCUGUCAGUCAGUGGUGAAAUCCCGGGGCUCAACCCCGGAACUGCCAUUGAUACUACAGGUCUUGAAUACGGUUGAAGUAGGCGGAAUGUAGCAUGUAGCGGUGAAAUGCAUAGAUAUACUACAGAACACCGAUCGCGAAGGCAGCUUACUAAGCCGAUAUUGACGCUCAGGCACGAAAGCGUGGGUAGCGAACAGGAUUAGAAACCCUAGUAGUCC